GACGGAGGGUGCAAGCGUUGCUCGGAAUCACUGGGCGUAAAGCGCACGUAGGCGGCUUGUUAAGUCAGGGGUGAAAUCCUGGAGCUCAACUCCAGAACUGCCUUUGAUACUGGCGAGCUUGAGUUCGGGAGAGGUGAGUGGAACUGCGAGUGUAGAGGUGAAAUUCGUAGAUAUUCGCAAGAACACCAGUGGCGAAGGCGGCUCACUGGCCCGAUACUGACGCUGAGGUGCGAAAGCGUGGGGAGCAAGCAGG
RNAcentral lists this ribosomal RNA (253 nucleotides) under uncultured bacterium. RNAcentral's name for it is "partial 16S ribosomal RNA". It matches the Rfam family "Bacterial small subunit ribosomal RNA", at positions 524 to 776 of the family's 1533-position model. The record is from RNAcentral.